Molecule: ribosomal RNA, 250 nt
Filed under: uncultured archaeon
Lineage: Archaea
Description: partial 16S ribosomal RNA
Rfam family: Archaeal small subunit ribosomal RNA
Source: RNAcentral
UACCGGCGGCUCGAGUGGUGGCCACUUUUAUUGGGCUUAAAGCGUUCGUAGCUGGGUUGUUAAGUCUCUUGGGAAAUCUGACGGCUCAACCGUCAGGCGUCCAAGGGAUACUGGCAAUCUUGGAACCGGGAGAGGUGAGGGGUACUUCGGGGGUAGGAGUGAAAUCCUGUAAUCCUCGAGGGACCACCUGUGGCGAAGGCGCCUCACCAGAACGGCUUCGACAGUGAGGGACGAAAGCUGGGGGAGCAAA